CUGCAACUCGCCUGCGUCAAGUUGGAAUUGCUAGUAAUCGCGGAUCAGCAUGCCGCGGUGAAUACGUUCCCGGGCCUUGUACACACCGCCCGUCACACCAUGAGAGUCGGGAACACCCGAAGUCCGUAGUCUAACCGCAAGGAGGGCGCGGCCGAAGGUGGGUUCGAUAAUUGGGGUGAAGUCGUAACAAGGUAAC
Molecule: ribosomal RNA, 196 nt
Filed under: uncultured bacterium
Lineage: Bacteria
Description: partial 16S ribosomal RNA
Rfam family: Bacterial small subunit ribosomal RNA
Source: RNAcentral